AUAAAUACAGUGAAAAGAAAGAGUAGAUUAUUGAACUUGCGUAGAGAACUCUUGGUUGGUGAAAAAGAGUGAGGGAAUGUAAUUGAAUUCAUCUUGGAGUAGACGGCUGAACAAAGUAGGCUUAGUCCGGGAAUGCCCGUUAUAGCAUGAGAGUAUGAACCUAAAGGUUAGGCGUACUUGAUAAGGUUUAUUUAGUAAUAGAUAAGCAAACUAAGGUGGUAACACGAAAGAUGUAUCUCUCGUCCUUAUG
This 250-nucleotide non-coding RNA is filed under the name Coprobacillus sp. Its description in RNAcentral is "T-box sequence". It matches the Rfam family "T-box leader". From Rfam's summary of the family: Uncharged tRNA acts as the effector for transcription antitermination of genes in the T-box leader family. T-boxes are found upstream of many aminoacyl-tRNA synthetase genes and some amino acid biosynthetic genes usually in Gram-positive bacteria. The anticodon of a specific tRNA base pairs to a specifier sequence within the T-box motif, and the NCCA acceptor tail of the tRNA base pairs to a conserved bulge in the T-box antiterminator hairpin. The record is from RNAcentral. Lineage: Bacteria; Bacillati; Bacillota; Erysipelotrichia; Erysipelotrichales; Coprobacillaceae.